RNAcentral lists this long non-coding RNA (1008 nucleotides) under Mytilus galloprovincialis (Mediterranean mussel). The record is from RNAcentral. Lineage: Eukaryota; Metazoa; Mollusca; Bivalvia; Mytilida; Mytilidae.
GGGAUCCGCCAUUUUGAAUUGCUUUGAUUAACCAAUGUUCGAUAACUACAAUAUUAUCGAAAAUAAAACAACACCUACCUCAAAAUCGCCGUUUUGAUGUAAUUUUAUCAAAAUUUGAAUCGUACAAGUAACGUUAUGACCUUCAGUUUGUUAGUUUUCAUUUAUAUGACGUCACGUUAAGCCGUAACGUCUUUGUGCAAAAACCAUUCAUAAAGUUUCGCGGAAUUUUAUUUUAUUUCAUUUCAUAAAUGUACAUUUUCAUGCCCCCGCCGUAGCAAGGGGGUAUUGAGUUUUAUCCUUGUCUGUUUGUACGUCCAUCCGAAUGUACGUCCGUUUUUACAAAAUUGGUUUCCGUUCUCUAACUUUAGUUUGCCUCAACCAACUGAUAUAUAAAACUUAUGCAUAAUGCUUUUUACCACAAAAACACAGAAUAAAUUUGAAUUUUGAUGUCGUCACUUUUACACAGUUCUAGAUUUAUGAGGGGUCGGACAGGGUACACAUUUCUCCUUUCUCCCGUCCCUUUUCUCUUGUCACCCGCCGUAAAACCUUUAAAAAAAACUAAUGUUUGGGAAGCUCAUUUCAACAGAAAUCGAUCUAAUAUCUUGUGUUUUGAUGGCUUGUCCCCGUCCUGUCCUUUCACAAGAUAGAAGUGUUGUUUAUUCUGCUUCAAGAACCCCGAUAAUUUGUUAACCGACUGUUAUGCUGUCUCUUUCAUUGAAUUUGUAAGUCUGAUGCACGCCGUUUCCGAUUUUUUAUUAAGUAUAAAUACAAAUUAUAGAAACGCAGGAUUGAGUGAAAAACGGGCCGGCACAUUUUUUGUGACACUUUUAGUCAAUUUCGUUUAAAAUGGUUGGAAUUUACAUAAUGCGCCACUGAUGUGUUUUACUUAUAGAGGAUGCAUAUAUAUAUUCUCAGAUAUUUUUAUUGCAUAAUUUUUACGAAUGACAGAAUGUUGACUUGGUCUUUCAAAUGUACAGUUUGCAAGGUUUAUCCGUAAAUACCCACACG